This is a long non-coding RNA of Corticium candelabrum, 1230 nucleotides long. RefSeq lists it as uncharacterized. Lineage: Eukaryota; Metazoa; Porifera; Homoscleromorpha; Homosclerophorida; Plakinidae. The record is from RefSeq and is a predicted model, not a curated record. The transcript is spliced from 9 exons.
CGUAUACCCUGUAAUCUGCACGUGACGUUGGCAAGAAACGUGACAUGAUUGUAUUGUUGUUUGCGUUCGUUGGCUACUGCGCACCUUGCGACGCCACACCAUUGACGUUGCUGAAGCGGUAGCCGCGUCGUAAUUUUCGAACUCGGGGCCCAUCAAAGCACAUACGCACAAAGUAGGUAUAGCAGUUCAUAAUUCAGCAGAAAUCUGCGUCAGUGCACUGGCAUCGCAAAAGGAGCUGUUCCAACUUUCAGCUGUUCAACCAGAGACCUCUUCAAACUGGGUUGAGGCGAUCGAAUGGCUACGAAAGGAGACGAUUGUUAUUUCUAUUAUAAUACUGAAUGUGUGAAGGGUGACCAAUGCCCUUUCCGUCACAGUCAAGCUGCACUCGCCGUUGAAGAGUGAGUUGUUGUGUUGCUUUGAGAUUCAAUCGAGUGGCUGCCUCAAGCCCAACUGUCCUUUCAAGCAUUUCAAGCCGAGAAAUGUGAGCACACUGGGAACGAGCUCGAUGCCGGUGAUGUCAACGACACAGCCAGUUGUUGCUGUCAAACCGUCUGUUCGUGCUUCUACCAACUUGGUUCAAGCAAUUUCCUUGGAGUUGGAAAGGAAGGGAUGAUGUCUCUAUCAGCCCAGUCAGACAACAAAGGAACAUCAAAUUUGACUGUUAGUGGGCAGAUAGUCACACCAACAAAACCGAUCGGAGCAUCUUCUUCUGUGUGCAGUUUGGCAUGGGAAUGGUCUGCUAACCACAUAAAUCAGGAAUUGGGUAUAGCAAUUGAGUUUUAGAGCAGCAGCUGAAAAAAUUCUUGGACAUGUGAAGAAGAUUGCACAUAUUUGGAAGGUUGGAUCAAUGAAUGGCAUGUCAAAGUAGUGUCCAGCAAAAUCAUGCCACUAUUCAAGCUGCUAGUGCAACAGCUGUGACAUUUGUUUACCAGUUUACGAUGCUGUAUAAUUCAAUUCUAACCAGUUAUAGUCAUUACCGGUUGGAUAUAAUAAUAUAAAUACACACACACACACACACACACACACACACACACACACACACACACACACCACAUGUAUAAUAACCUAAGUGUAUACUGAGCACUGAUAACAAUCUGUGGCCAAUCAGUACCGAGUAGCAAGUCAAAUAACAACCUGUUUGUAGUUGUGUGUGUGUACAAUGUUGCAUUUAGUAACUCUUGCAUACUGCUUCAAGUGUGCUAUAGCGAAUUACGGUUAAUUAGUAAAAUU